Gorilla gorilla gorilla (western lowland gorilla) is the source of this 3988-nucleotide long non-coding RNA. RefSeq lists it as uncharacterized. Lineage: Eukaryota; Metazoa; Chordata; Mammalia; Primates; Hominidae. The transcript has 3 exons. The record is from RefSeq and is a predicted model, not a curated record.
CGGCGGUUGUGCCAGUCCGGGCGCUGCACCCCCUUCCCGGAACUCUAAUCGUAUCCCCAAAUAGAGGGAUGGGAACACAUUUGCUUUCGCAGUAAAAUGAAACGGACAGAUUGUGAAGAAGCGGACAAACCUCGCGUUAAUAUUCGAACCAGCCUAGUGCUCGGCGCUUCUGAGAGGAAUAGGCUCACAGAAUAGCGGCGCUGCCGAGACCCCUGGGGUACGCGAGGCAGGGGGAUUCCGCCCCUUUGGAAGGUGGCCGAGACCCUCAGCCACUAAAGGACUUCGUCGAGACAGGAGAGCCCGCAGAGAUCGUUCUCUUUUGGAUAACCAGAUUAUUCCACAAUGAAACUUUAACCCUUUUGGGGGCGCUGUUCCCUUUAACAAACUCUGGAAAAUGUACACAAUCUUGUGCACAACACGAGAGUUAUGGACCUGGGUUGAGAAACGCUGGUUUCUUUUGUUCCCCCUUGGUGACAUCACUUAAACCCAGCUCUCUCUUCGCUGAUACUUUUCUGCGCAUGAGGCUAGGUUGAGAGACAGUGAAGCUAGGCUGGGUACCAGCUCAUUCUCAUCAGCCACAAUGCCCGGCCUAGUCUUGUUCCCUGGUUUGUUUCCACUUUUCCAAAUCUCUCGGCUCCUGACCUUGGCUUUGUGUCCAGUUUUCCACUGUGACCCUGACCUUUGGACUUGGCAGCGAAACUUUAUUUCCCUAACUUUGAUCUUGGGCAUUAGUCUUCAUUCUCCUCAGCCCCACCUCAUCAGAAUUUCCCCAUCCUGGUCAUCUACCUUCCCGCAGUUCAUCCCACCCAGUCUACCUGACCAUGCCAUCCCUUUCGACAAAGAUAUUCACACAGGAACAGAUUUGGGCUACCUUGGAAAAGAAGCCAAAGAGCCAGUCAGAUCUUUAUGAAGCCAUGAAAGCCAUCUUCCCUAGAGUUGCCUGUCACUUCUCUCUCCUUAGGGAGACAUGUCAGUCAGUUCCUAGAGAAACUGCUUCUUCUCACAACCCUCAGCUCAGGUUUCCCUGGCGCCCAGAGGGGACUGAGCCAGCAGCUGACCUGAAAACAGCGAGUCUGCUGACUGUCCAGCGAUCAUUUCCCUCUAUUGAGAAUUUUAACCAAGUGUCUGUUGUCUGUAGUCAUUUGAUAUUGGCUGUGGACCCACAAAGUCACACAAGGCUAAAGGUCAGAACCAGUUAAAUAUGUUUCCAAGGUGAAGCUUUGGGGAGCACAGGAAGCCGAACUGUGGGAAGGCCAUAGAACAGACAGAUCUAGAGGACUAGGAGAGUGCUCCACAUUAAAGUGAUGUGGACAGAAACCUGCCUGGGGCUUUCUUGCUCCCACGAGAGGCUGCUAAACUUCCAGCACUUUGCACCUAAUUCUGCUUCUUUCUAGAUUUGCCAGAACUGUUGAUUUAGUCACAGAGACAAAACAACAGCAGUUGAACAAAGUGGAUGUUUAUUUCUCAUGUAAAAGUCUAAAUGGGGUGUUGGCAUGUUGUGGGCUGUGGUAGCAAGCUUGGCCCCCUCUGGUUGCUAUGGGACCUGCUGUGGGCCUCUUGCUGGUUGGUCACUCAGUGUGGGUUUGCAUUGUGGGUGGUGAAGGGGGCCAGACAAGGAAACGAGAGAGCUGACCUCAGUUCCAACUGAGAACUGAAGAGUCAGGAGCCGCAGGAGGUGAAGAACAGAACACCAGGGACAGUUGCCAGGCCUGGCGGAGCCUGAUGUGGCUUCUGGUCACAUACAUAGUCACAGGGCCCUUAAUUCCUUCUCAUCAGGGGCUCAGGGGCAGGCAUUCACUGUCUUGGUGCCACAGUCCUUCUUGAAAUAUUUCCUUAAUGAAAAUCAGAAAAGAUUCUGAUCAUCUAUCUGUUCAGAGAGUCUGGAAUCCUUUGCAAGCCAAUUGUUUUUCUAGAAGUUAGGUUUCUGGGGACAAUUAAAACAGCUCUGAGUGGGCAGCUGUGGCUCCUUUGCCUAGGCUGAACAAAGAGGAAAGGGCUGGGCUGGGCAGGCCUCAAGACACCCCCCGCCCCCACCCAAAUUGCUUCCAGACAUGGCCUUUGCUAUUGGUUCUCUCUCCUAGGACCUUGAAAUGAGAGAAGAAAAGCAAUUUGGUUCUAGAAAAUUCAGAGGCAAAUGGAGGCUCCAGGUGUCCCACCCAAGAUCCUGACCUGGAAGGCCAGGGAGCAGAUCCUGUAUGAACACAAAGAAUUAGCAGAAUCCUGUCAGCUUCCAAAUUAGCUGAAGGUUUUGGCUUUAACAUAAAUACCCAUCAGCACCACUCCCGCAAUCCGAAAGGCCUUAAGGGGCACAUUUGUUCCCACGUGGAGCAGAAACUAAAGUGGGACCAAAUGGUCCCUGUGAAAGCUGGGCUAACCCACUUUCCUUGCAGCUCCAGGCCUCUGGGGUUUCAUCCAAGCUGCUCUUUGAAGGCCACACUGUGUCAAAGCCUUUGUUGAUGCCAGGGACACAGCCCACCACAGGCCAUGCCCAAAGGCCAGAGUCAGAGCACAAUUUUGAAGAUUACAGAAAACUCCAAAGAGAUUGAAGAGAUGGAAUAAAGGAUCCCAGCCCCCGAAAAGAGAAAGCUUUGUGUCUGUAGCCAUAGCCCUCGGCAAUCAGACAUCCUCCUCACUAAUGUGAGGUCAGGAGGGGACUAGAAGUGCUCAGAGGAUGGACUGCCUCUGGCCAGUGCAGGGGAGAGGCAGGGGUGUUGAGGCACAGGAGCCAGAUGAGAGGAACGUCAGCAGCAAAGCAGUAAGAAGAACAUGAGAGUUUCUUGAUAGUAAUAGAACUUCCUACACAGACUGGGAACCGGGUUGUAGCUUGAGGGGAUGUGACAACAUAGUGGCCCGGAAUUUUCACUUUGGAAAUUAACUGCUUUGGACCAGGAAGAAGCGCUGAGCCUAGAAAGGCAGGAGGCACAGGACUGUGUGGGCUUCUGUCUGGCAGAGACCUAUGAGCUUCAUAGGGUGAAUGAAUCGGGGCAGGAUAAAGCAGAGGCCUCCACCCUCACAGUGCUCUUAGCCAUCUCAGGCUUCCCGGAACACUGCUACCAGGCUGCCUGCUGGAGCCCUUUACACUCACAGGCCUUCCUGCUUGGGUUCUCUUCUGCAGGCUGCGUAAACCAGUCCUGUUGUAGCCCUUGUAGCAUCUGCUGUAGUGAUCUGGUUUGGGUUUCAGUAUUACUUGCAAUGGUUUGGAAGGAAAUGGGAAGUUUGCCUUCUAACUACAUUUUCUUUUUGAUUCAAGAACCCUAGCAGUUCUACAACCACUGGGCCUAAAACUAAAUUAAAGGAAAAAUAAAUAAAAGGAAGCAAAAACAUCUAACUGGUAUGGCCUGGCAGCAUUGCCAGAGAGAGUCCUCAGGGGCCCAGGCUUGUUCUGUCUUUUGCUCUGCCAUCCCUAGGGUAGACAGCACGGAAGAGGCAGUACAUCUUAACAAAAAUCAGGGUUCUGGAUGAAGGGAGGGGUGGUGAAUGGUUGCUGCAAUCAACAGUUCAUACUUCAAUGGAAAGAAGGUGGGAUUUGAUUCCUGGUUGCAAAUCUUCACUCUGUCACCUGCUAUCUGUGUGCCCUCAGUCUCCCAUCAAGGAGUGAUGUCUGUUUCUCCACUUCUUGAAUCUGGGCUGGCCUUGCCAAUAGAAUAUGGCAGAAGUGACAUCGUUCCAUUUCUGAGUCAAAGCCUGAGGAGGCCUUGCAUGCUUCUACUCUCUCUUGCAACCCUGCACUGCCACAUAUCAACAAGACUUAUCAACAAGCCUGGGAUAGCCUGCUAGAUGAUGAAAGAUACAUGGCCCGCUUGCUCCCAUCACUCCAGCUGACAGCUAGGCAACCCUAAGAAGCAAAGUCACCUAGCUGAUUAGUAGCUGACCACUCACACAAAAGUAAGAUCAUCUGAGACCAGAAGACAGCCCAUCUGAGCUCAGCCCAAAUUACUGACCCACAAAAUAAUAAUAAAUAAAUGGUUAUUAUUUUUAUGUCACUGAA